RNAcentral lists this long non-coding RNA (384 nucleotides) under Lathyrus oleraceus (garden pea). RNAcentral's name for it is "Pisum sativum (pea) long non-coding RNA (PSAT_LNC003125)". The record is from RNAcentral. Lineage: Eukaryota; Viridiplantae; Streptophyta; Magnoliopsida; Fabales; Fabaceae.
UUUGGUUCAGUGUUGUAGAUAACUUGAGCAUAUGAUUUUACCUUAUCGUUUAUAGGCUCAUAGUUUCGAGUUCUACCAUUUUUAGACAUGAUAUUCUCCUUUUUCCAGCCAUGAUUAUUCCUAUUAUUUUCAACUUCAAAUAUCUUUGGCUUUUGAUCAAAGUCUCCUUUAAACCUUGGAGUCUUUUGCAUCCUUUUAUGAAUAUAUUAUCCAAAGCCACAACCGAGAAUCUAUCAUCUUUCACAUUUCUAAAUAUGACAAAAUCAUAUCCUUUUCCUUUUGUCUCUUCUCGGUGGGAUAACAACUUCAUCAAUGAUUUCAUAAUUUUUGAAAAUAUUGAACAUCUCCUUAGCUCCAUGCAAAUCUCUCUUUCGGGAAAAAAAA